Molecule: transfer RNA, 71 nt
Filed under: bacterium
Lineage: Bacteria
Also listed under: 1 other name
Description: tRNA-Gln
Rfam family: tRNA
About the family: Transfer RNA (tRNA) molecules are approximately 80 nucleotides in length. Their secondary structure includes four short double-helical elements and three loops (D, anti-codon, and T loops).
Source: RNAcentral
UCCGGGCUCGUCUAAUGGUAGGACACCACCCUUUGGAGGUGGCUAUCGGGGUUCGAAUCCCUGGCCCGGAG